Edwardsiella ictaluri 93-146 is the source of this 71-nucleotide non-coding RNA. Lineage: Bacteria; Pseudomonadati; Pseudomonadota; Gammaproteobacteria; Enterobacterales; Hafniaceae. The record is from Rfam.
AUUCCAAUUGAGGUCAACUUACCUGAUAAUAACGCCCCGUUUGGCAACGGGAAUCAGGAGAUCUCAUGUUC